This 253-nucleotide ribosomal RNA is filed under the name uncultured bacterium. RNAcentral's name for it is "partial 16S ribosomal RNA". It matches the Rfam family "Bacterial small subunit ribosomal RNA", at positions 524 to 776 of the family's 1533-position model. The record is from RNAcentral.
UACGUAGGGGGCAAGCGUUGUCCGGAAUUAUUGGGCGUAAAGAGCGUGUAGGCGGUCCGGUAAGUCAGCUGUGAAAGUCAAGGGCUCAACCCUUGAAUGCCGGUUGAUACUGUCGGGCUAGAGUCCGGAAGAGGCGAGUGGAAUUCCCGGUGUAGCGGUGAAAUGCGCAGAUAUCGGGAGGAACACCAAUGGCGAAGGCAGCUCGCUGGACCACUACUGACGCUGAGGAACGAAAGCUAGGGGAGCAAACAGG